This 450-nucleotide ribosomal RNA is filed under the name uncultured bacterium. RNAcentral describes it as "partial 16S ribosomal RNA". It matches the Rfam family "Bacterial small subunit ribosomal RNA", at positions 354 to 796 of the family's 1533-position model. The record is from RNAcentral.
GUGGGGAAUAUUGGACAAUGGGCGAAAGCCUGAUCCAGCCAUGCCGCGUGUGUGAAGAAGGUCUUCGGAUUGUAAAGCACUUUAAGUUGGGAGGAAGGGCAGUAAGCUAAUACCUUGCUGUUUUGACGUUACCGACAGAAUAAGCACCGGCUAACUUCGUGCCAGCAGCCGCGGUAAUACGAAGGGUGCAAGCGUUAAUCGGAAUUACUGGGCGUAAAGCGCGCGUAGGUGGUUUUGUAAGUUGAAGGUGAAAUCCCCGGGCUCAACCUGGGAACUGCCUCCAAAACUGCAUGACUAGAGUACGGUAGAGGGUAGUGGAAUUUCCUGUGUAGCGGUGAAAUGCGUAGAUAUAGGAAGGAACACCAGUGGCGAAGGCGACUACCUGGACUGAUACUGACACUGAGGUGCGAAAGCGUGGGGAGCAAACAGGAUUAGAAACCCGAGUAGUCC